This 21-nucleotide unclassified non-coding RNA is filed under the name Mus musculus (house mouse). RNAcentral describes it as "oocyte_clustered_small_RNA376". Lineage: Eukaryota; Metazoa; Chordata; Mammalia; Rodentia; Muridae. The record is from RNAcentral.
AGCCACCUUACCACUGAGCCG